RNAcentral lists this ribosomal RNA (254 nucleotides) under uncultured bacterium. RNAcentral's name for it is "partial 16S ribosomal RNA". It matches the Rfam family "Bacterial small subunit ribosomal RNA", at positions 524 to 776 of the family's 1533-position model. The record is from RNAcentral.
UACAGAGGUCUCAAGCGUUGUUCGGAUUCAUUGGGCGUAAAGGGUGUGUAGGUGGCGCGCUAAGUCGGGUGUGAAAUUUCGGAGCUUAACUCCGAAACUGCAUUCGAUACUGGCGUGCUUGAGGACUGGAGAGGAGACUGGAAUUCAUGGUGUAGCAGUGAAAUGCGUAGAGAUCAAUGAGGAAGACCAGUGGCGAAGGCGGGUCUCUGGACAGUUCCUGACGCUGAGGCACGAAGGUCAGGGGAGCAAACAGG